This 497-nucleotide ribosomal RNA is filed under the name uncultured bacterium. Its description in RNAcentral is "partial 16S ribosomal RNA". It matches the Rfam family "Bacterial small subunit ribosomal RNA", at positions 28 to 507 of the family's 1533-position model. The record is from RNAcentral.
GAUGAACGCUGGCGGCGUGCCUAAUACAUGCAAGUCGAGCGAACGGACGAGAAGCUUGCUUCUCUGAUGUUAGCGGCGGACGGGUGAGUAACACGUGGAUAACCUACCUAUAAGACUGGGAUAACUUCGGGAAACCGGAGCUAAUACCGGAUAAUAUUUUGAACCGCAUGGUUCAAAAGUGAAAGACGGUCUUGCUGUCACUUAUAGAUGGAUCCGCGCUGCAUUAGCUAGUUGGUAAGGUAACGGCUUACCAAGGCAACGAUGCAUAGCCGGCCUGAGAGGGUGGCCGGCCACACUGGAACUGAGACACGGUCCAGACUCCUACGGGAGGCAGCAGUAGGGAGUCUGCCGCAAUGGGCGAAAGCCUGACGGAGCAACGCCGCGGGAGUGAUGAAGGUCUUCGGAUCGUAAAACUCUGUGAGUAGGGAAGAACAUAUGUGUAAGUAACUGUGCACAUCUUGACGGUACCUAAUCAGAAAGCCACGGCUAACUACGUG